CAGUAUAACGAGCACCACAAGCCCGGGUUUAUUUAGAGUUUGCUCUCCUAGGCAGAUUGCCUACCACGGCUGACGACCUCCACCUGCCCGGGUUUAUUGUUCGGAGUUUGCUCUCCUAGGUGAAUUGCCUACCACGGCUAACGACCUCCACCUGCCCGGGUUUGUAUAGAGUUUGCUCUCCUAGGUGAAUUGCCUACCACGGCUAACGACCUCCACCUGCCCGGGUUUGUAUAGAGUUUGCUCUCCUAGGUGAAUUGCCUACCACGGCUAACGAGCCUCACCUGCCCGGGUUUGUAUAGAGUUUGCUCUCCUAGGUGAAUUGCCUACCACGGCUAACGACCUCCACCUGCCCGGGUUUGUAUAGAGUUUGCUCUCCUAGGUGAAUUGCCUUCCACGGCUAACGAGCCUCACCUGCCCGGGUUUGUAUAGAGUUUGCUCUCCUAGGCAGAUUGCCUACCACGGCUAACGAGCUCCACCUGCCCGGGUUUGUAGCCGGAAGAUCU
Molecule: long non-coding RNA, 503 nt
Organism: Eriocheir sinensis (Chinese mitten crab)
Lineage: Eukaryota; Metazoa; Arthropoda; Malacostraca; Decapoda; Varunidae
Exons: 4
Source: RefSeq, a predicted model, not a curated record